CCAGUGAUCUGGUUUAUGCUCAGAUUGAUUUACAGGACAAAAUGAAGACCAAGGGCAAAGGGAAGAGCAGUGAGUCUGGAGACACUUUGUACUCUGAACUGAAGCACAACACAGACAGAGGAGCUGAUGCUGGUGAUGAAACUUGUGCUCAACCUUUGAGGAAGAAGAAUAAAACACGUCUCUGAGUGCAGUGAAGACAACAGACGGCUAAAAGAGAUUCACAGCAGCAGACACAGUGACGCUUGCAUUGCUUCAGAAAUGAAUCUGAGUGAACUGCUUACACACGUGCUUGAUUCAGUUACUUUCGUUAUCUCUACACAUAUUACACAAGCAAAACAAGUGUCUCUCUAGUAUAUUCAUUAGUUAGAUCCCCAGAUUAUUAAGAUCCAGCCCCAGAUGCUAGAUCUCAUCAGAAAAUAUCAGUUUGUCUCGUAACAGAACAACUCUUCAGUAAAGUUGGUUUUGCAAAAUCUAAAAAACAAAACCGGUUCACAGAAGUCUUGUCUGGUGCCCAAAAUACCCAAAACUGUAUUAACAGUCUUCUAUCAGAGAAGAAGCUGACUGAGGAAAAACUCAGAGAAGAGCAGAACAGCAGACGAAGUGAUGAUAAAAGAGCAGAGUUUAUUG
Long non-coding RNA from Carassius auratus (goldfish), 627 nucleotides. RefSeq lists it as uncharacterized. NCBI's taxonomy places the organism in Eukaryota, Metazoa, Chordata, Actinopteri, Cypriniformes, Cyprinidae. The transcript has 4 exons. The record is from RefSeq and is a predicted model, not a curated record.